This is a long non-coding RNA of Solanum lycopersicum (tomato), 1211 nucleotides long. RefSeq lists it as uncharacterized. NCBI's taxonomy places the organism in Eukaryota, Viridiplantae, Streptophyta, Magnoliopsida, Solanales, Solanaceae. The record is from RefSeq and is a predicted model, not a curated record.
GGUACUCUCUUCAGCUGAACUGUUGAUAAAGUAAUGUAACACCCUAAAGGUCUAGGACAUAACCUAGAUACUCACGUGAUGAACUAAACCUUAAAACACUCUUUCUAAGCCUAAAUAUAGUUUAUAAACCAUUUAGGAUGUUUUAGAGUUAAGACGUCAAGGAACGCCCAUGAAAUCCGGAAACUAGCUAAAUCGACCUAGUUGACGUCCCUAUGUUUGGUGAAGGUUCGGGAGGGUCAUAUGAAGUCCGAAACUUAUAAGAAGACUUUAAAUAGGUAGAAUGCAGUACAAAGGGUCCAAACCUCCACUAACGAAUCCCCAAGGACCGCCUGAAGGAUCCAGGAGGAGGACCCAAACCUUGGUGAGCACGCUGCCAAAGCAGCUUGCGGCAGCCUAGAAAUAAAGGUCACUGCGCUACGCGCAGCUGACACGUGGGGUGAAAAUUUACCUUGCGUUGCAUGCACUCCACGUGGUCCACUGCGUCAAAUUGGAUUUCAAAAACAAAAUAUGAAAUUAGCCCCACGAUGCGCAGCCACUUCCCCAGCUUCAUUGAAAUGAUUUCUUAAGCAUUUUGACCUAGCAAAAAGACCCAUUUAAGUGAAGGUCUUUUGGGUAAUUUAGGGGGUGACUAUAUAGUGACUAAGGGUCAGAUUUAUGUCAUUUUUGACUCACCUAAAUCAAACUCCCAAAAUAUUACCCAAAAGCUCUCACCUCUCUCUACUUUCUCUCUCCCUGAAUCCUCCAUUAAAGAAGCAAAAAAGCUUGAAGAAGAAGACCAAUUUCUCUAGGAUUUCACUUCAAUUUCGUGGAUUAAUCUUAAUUAAGGUUCCGGUCGUUGAAGGUUUCGUGACAACUUUUGAAGGAAGUCUUGGAUUCUCAUUCUCCAAGUUGGAAAAUCUGUCCAAAGAUGAACGCGGAAGUUUUUGAGCAACAAAUGCAAAAAAGUUACUACCUACGCAGCUUAUGACGUUCUGUCAAGCUUGCGACGGUCCGUAGGUGGCAACGUAGUGAAGCUGCUAAAGGAAGAUGGGAAAGUCUGACCAAGUGUGGGAUUAAGGAAGUUCAUGACGGACCGUCAUAGCCUCGACGGUCCGUCCUACUGGUUCGUCGCGAUGACCAGAGAGUAGCGCAGUACCCAAUUUCCAAGGAGUUUAAGUGUUAUGGAACGGAGACCCUCUAAAGACCGUCAUGCUUGGAACGGUCCGUCAUAC